UCCUUGUAUAGUAAAUUGGUUUUGUUAAUAUUAAAUAUGCAAUUUUAUUUCACUCAGCUGCCCCUCCGCUAACUGCCCAUAUCUGUGGGCAGACUUGGUAGACCCUUCCAUGGUUUCCAGUAGUUCCAGGAUGGAACCCUUUACUAUCAUUUUUUUUUUUUUUUAAAUCUCACAAUUACUGGAUUAUUUUGUGUGGCUUAAGCAAGUCAUUAAAAAUAUGUCUAUAUGUAUUAACAACAACAACAACAAGGAUCCCUUAGCUUCCAGUAUAUCUUUCUUAUAUUCGUCUAAAAAAACUUGCAUAGCACAAGCUGUAAUUGUAAUUUCCACUGAGUAGUAGUUAGCUUAGGCAUAGAAAUCUAGGUUCAGAGUAGCUAGCAAUACUAGCACUGCAAGGAAUUCCUAGCUGGCCACGGUCCUCAUGCCCCGCCAGUCUCCUCAUAGGCUUUAAAGGUAUAAAUAGAGAUACCCUGGCAUAUCUCUCUUCCUGUCCUUCCAAGCUUCCAGAAGGGAUGACUCCUACUGUGCUUUGUUGCUAUAGAAAGGUCUGGCUCAUGGUUUGGCAGCUCAAAAGACUGUAUAGGAAAACAUGUCUUUGGUGGAGAUUAAAAAUGACUAUCGGUCUCCCUUUCUAAAUGAGAAGGGAGAAACCUAAUGGCAUUGAUGGACAAGGUCUCAGUAUCAGAAGUGACUUUGGCUGGAGGUCCUACGUGAACUUCAAACAUUGGAUGAUUUGAGGAAAGACAUGUUCUUACUUCAGUGUUGUUACUGGCAGUCUCCUCCUUCCUGCCCUAUUACUGAGUAUGGGCUAAAAUGCCACAUUUCUGAAGUGUUAGUAAUGCCACAGGAUGAUAAAAAUUUAAACGUAUCAGGCUGGAAUUUCAGAGCAAAGCCAGUUUUAUUUAGACUGCUACUUGAACUUCUGCAUUUUCUUCAGUGCAAUUUUUCUGUCUCAAAAUUCUCAGCCAUUUUUCCAUGCUGUGCUGCAAGGCUGGUACCUGUUUCAAGCUAGGAAGGAGUUUAAUAAAAAUAAGAGGAAGAUCUUUACAGAGAAGACAUCCUUCGUCUGCAGUAUCUCUCCUAAAUCCACUAUUCACCUUGAUCUACUCAAAAGCACUAAGUUGCUGUACACUGUGGUUCUGCUGCUGCGUUCUGGUGAAGGUAAAGACUCUUGCGUAUGUCUGCACUGGAUCCCUGCAGCAACAUGUCACUGUGCAUCUUUUGUGGAUAUGUGGAUAUGCUUGUAAAUCUGUUUUCUGGAUUGUUUGGGAGGUUGGAAGGUGAUCCUAAGUGUGUCCAAGGAAGGAAAGCAUUACAGUGAGCAGAGAUGAAUACAGAUACAAAUGUCCCAUCGACUGCUUAGAAGCCAUACUAUUUGACAGCAUUUGGUUGAGGUUUUCCAUAUGUCAACGUAGUAGAAACUACAGAUUUCAAAAUUGAAUUUUUGUGAAAGUUGAAAGAAUUUUCUGUAGUAUUUUAAAGGAUUUUGAGGACACACUGUUGGGAUCUAAUUUGUACAUUCUCAGAAUGAGAAUAUGCUUAACUCUGGCUACAGCAAAGCAUUUAUGAAAACGUUCUCUUGCUAAUACAGAUCUUCUAGUUCUUUGACACACCUGCACCAUUUUUAAACAUGUCCAAGGAACUAGGUAAAUACAGAGACUAUUUGGCCAGACCCAGCUUUGUCUGCUACUGAGAUUCUGCUGCCAGCUACAGCCAGGUGGUAAAUUCAAGCCCAGCUUAAGGAUAUUUUUUUAAGAUGCAGUCAGUUCAGCAAAGACCACCUGGGAGCGGAGCAGAGAUUGCUGUUUAAGGAAUUGAGCUGACGUAACAGCUCCAGUAUAUCUCCCAGUAAUUGAACUGGAAAUGCUGUCCUCUGCUUUUAGGAUUUACAGAAGGUUGGUCUGCUUUGACCUGACGGCAAUUUUAAAUAGUAUGGUUAAGUUUUUUCAGUUUCCACAACCAACUGAACACAGUCAUGUGGCACGGACCACAGCCAAUGCCUUUGACCACCUGCAUAUGUGACCAGUUGCCCAUUGAUUAGGGGCUGACUUACAUAGAAUUUUAGUCUCAUUCCUGUAAGUUCCACAAUAAGCUUGACUAUGUGUGACCAUGUGUAAACAAGUGUAUAUAGGCGUCUGAUUUUAGCAAAGACAUCCUUGAACUUCAGUAUUUAACCUGAAGUCAGCCCUGGUUUUAAGUAUGGUGAGGUUGAACCCUCUUCUCCUUCUCUAGUCUGCUCCCCUUGAAAAUAACCUGUACAUUACCACAUUAUGUCAGCAUUUAG
Anser brachyrhynchus (Pink-footed goose) is the source of this 2284-nucleotide long non-coding RNA. The record is from Ensembl. NCBI's taxonomy places the organism in Eukaryota, Metazoa, Chordata, Aves, Anseriformes, Anatidae.